RNAcentral lists this ribosomal RNA (118 nucleotides) under Clostridium sp. Lineage: Bacteria; Bacillati; Bacillota; Clostridia; Eubacteriales; Clostridiaceae. The record is from RNAcentral.
UCUGGUGUCUAUGAUUAUUAGGGCUACACCCGUUCCCAUACCGAACACGUAGGUUAAGCCUAGUAGUGCCAAUGAUACUUCAGGAGAGAUUCUGUGGGAAAGUAGGUUGAUGCCAGUU